GAUGAACGCUGGCGGCGUGCUUAACACAUGCAAGUCGAACGAACGACUAUUAACAGAACCUUUCGGGGCGAAGAUGAUAGAAGUUAGUGGCGGACGGGUGCGUAACGCGUGGGUAAUCUGCCUUUGUCAAAGGAAUAACUAUUCGAAAGAAUAGCUAAAACCGUAUAACAUAUUAAUAGGGCAUCCUAAUAAUAUCAAAACUGAGGUGGACAAAGAUGAGCCCGCGUCUGAUUAGCUAGUUGGUGAGAUAAAAGCCCACCAAGGCAACGAUCAGUAGCCGACCUGAGAGGGUGAACGGCCACAUUGGAACUGAGACACGGUCCAAACUCCUACGGGAGGCAGCAGUGGGGAAUAUUGCACAAUGGGGGGAACCCUGAUGCAGCAACGCCGCGUGAGUGAAGAAGGCAUUCGUGUCGUAAAACUCUGUAGUAGGGGAAGAAAGAAAUGACAGUACCCUAAAAGAAAGCCCCGGCUAACUACGUGCCAGCAGCCGCGGUAAUACGUAGGGGGCAAGCGUUAUCCGGAAUAACUGGGCGUAAAGGGUGCGCAGGUGGUUUAACAAGUUAGUGGUGAAAGGCAUAGGCUCAACCAAUGUAAGCCAUUAAAACUGUUUAACUUGAGUGCAGGAGAGGAGAGUGGAAUUCCUAGUGUAGCGGUGAAAUGCGUAGAUAUUAGGAGGAAUACCAGUGGCGAAGGCGACUUUCUGGACUGCAACUGACACUGAGGCACGAAAGCGUGGGGAGCAAACAGG
Molecule: ribosomal RNA, 751 nt
Filed under: uncultured Filifactor sp.
Lineage: Bacteria; Bacillati; Bacillota; Clostridia; Peptostreptococcales; Filifactoraceae
Description: bacterial SSU rRNA
Rfam family: Bacterial small subunit ribosomal RNA
Source: RNAcentral